GAAGAGCGGGCAGGAGCGAGAGGAGCCUCUCUCAGGGUCGAGAGACGACGCCGAGUGGAGGGAGCCGGGCGAGGCCUCCCUCAGCCCCGGCGCCCUUCAGGUGUUCCUGGACGGCGGUUCCCGUCACCCCCGACCGCGAUGGUGCAUGGCGGGCACCCGGUUGAGAAAGUCAGCGCUCUCGACAUCCCCCCCUUUUUUUUUGCUGGGGCAAAAUAGGCUAUUCAAUGGUAGAACCUCCAACUACAUACCCAAAGCAUCCAAACUGCCGCAGCGGGUAGAGUUAGGACAUUUUAUUAGAGCCACCUGAACGUCCCAAGAGGGCUUCAACCGAGUUCAGGCAUCUCCAUUUAUCUUAUGCUGCCCACCUGUACACAGCUUGGUUUAGUAUUUCAGCUUGUCAAACAACAACGAAUGAACAACACCCGUAUUGUUCCUCUGACUCUGGAAAAGGGUCAAUCCUGAGCAUCUCUAGGCAGAGCUGUGAAUGUUGCGUCUGAAAUCUUGGACAACCACUGCUGAACUGUGCAGACUAAUGGUCUGAGGCUUUUGUUACCUGUUCUUGUACAAUAUCAUAAAGCUUUACUUGAAAUCCAGCAGAAGCAAAUAACAUGGCCCAGCUACAUCCAAUGAGUCCACUAAGAAGAAAAGAGAAAACGAAAUUCCACAAAGAGAGUUUGGAAUUCCAGUAACAUAAUGAUAUUCCAGUCUCUUUCCGGCAAGCAGGACAUAAAUUAUUCAGGAGAAGGCCAACUGAAACAAAUGAGUUUUUAAGGUCUUCUGAAAAGUCUGAGGUGUAGCUGCCAUUGCAGCAUUUCUGGGAAAGAACUCCAAAGGUGUGGUGGAGCCACCACAAAAGAAGCCCUGCCUCUUAUGCUCAACCACCUCACAGACCUAUUCCUGUCACAACACAGAAGCAAAACAAGGUUUUCCUGUUUCAGCACCUGUUGAAGGCAGCAACCUGGAUGUGGAUAUAGUUAACCAACCCACAGAUUCAGCAAUAGAAGUUUAAGGUAUGUUUUGAAAGGGCAAUGAAGGACGCAACAGACCAAUCAGCAUAUUACAAAGCAAUUUGGCUCACAUCCUACUUUUGGAACAUCUAAGUUUAUUAAGCAGAGAGUGAAUGUUGAACAAAAUGGACUUGGGUUGAAAAUAGUCUUAUUUCACUAUUCUGUAGGUUAUUCUGCAUGCUACAGGCCUGAAAUUCUGCAUACAGAGCAUCCGUCUAAGUACAUAUGGAAUGCAGAAACAUUCAGGUGAACAUAUAUAGUCAUAUGACGUUGCCUUACCCCCAGUUAGGCUAUUCAUCUAUCUUGCCCGCUAUUAUAUACUCUGAUCAUGGCUCCCUUGCCUGUCAGGAUUCUUCCCUGCCCUGUUACCUGAAAAACUUGA
This is a long non-coding RNA of Podarcis raffonei (Aeolian wall lizard), 1389 nucleotides long. RefSeq lists it as uncharacterized. The record is from RefSeq and is a predicted model, not a curated record. The transcript is spliced from 5 exons. NCBI's taxonomy places the organism in Eukaryota, Metazoa, Chordata, Lepidosauria, Squamata, Lacertidae.